Molecule: long non-coding RNA, 933 nt
Organism: Ornithorhynchus anatinus (platypus)
Lineage: Eukaryota; Metazoa; Chordata; Mammalia; Monotremata; Ornithorhynchidae
Exons: 4
Source: RefSeq, a predicted model, not a curated record
AGCUCUGUAACCCAAAAUAAAGACACCUUUAAACCUUACUCAACUGGACCACAGCCCUUGUUGCAGCCCAGCUGUGCAUAGCUAGAUAACCUGGGUCAGGAUGACAAUUAGCUCAGAAGAAGUCAAAUUAAUUCCUUGGCUAUUCAGGGCUGAUGGAGGCACAAAUGAAGGGCCAGGGGCCAUUGAGGAUGCCCUUUGAAGUGGGAGUAAAAUAAGUGUACAGAUGUCAGGUCCUGUCACUCAACACUCAUCUGCAGCCUCAACAGGAUGAUCAUAAAGAAAAGUCACAAAAUACAGUUUUUGAGAUGGGAGUAUUUUUCUUCAUUUCUUUUCUUUCUUAGCCAAGGGGAGCACGCAGGGGGGAAAAAAGAGAGUGAGGAAGGUGGAAGGAAAGAGAUUUACAGAGAAAUACAUAGCCUGUACACUAAUUUAAUAAGCAGCCUCUCCCUGCUAGCGUGCGAUUAAACUAAAUUGCCAGUCUAAACUUUUCUGUGCUGAAUUUCAAAUGUCAACACAUUACAUUGCUAUUCCUCUUAAUUUCUCACAAAGAAAAUGCAAAAUGAAUUCAUUAUGCUGGAGUAAGUGGAAAAAAAUGAUGAGUUUCUCCAGAAGAGUAUGCAAUGGGGAGAGAUUGGGCAAGACGAUUAUAUUGAGAUAUUUGAAUAGCUGGCCAUUAGCAAUAGCUUCCCCAUUACUUUGCUGAUAAUUAUAUCUCUUCUGCUAUGACUUCCCAGUGGAAUAAUACAAUGUUCCCAGUACAUGGAAUAAUGAAAAAUACCAUUCAGGUGGUACACACAUGCCAAGAAUAGAAUGUUGUAUUUCCUUUCGCCUUUCCUGCCCCCUCCCUUCACAAACUCCCUGUAUCUUGUAGACUGUAAUGGGUGCACACCUACACAGUUCGUUAAUGUGUAUCUGGUGGUUCUGAGCUGUGUA